RNAcentral lists this ribosomal RNA (702 nucleotides) under uncultured Gammaproteobacteria bacterium. RNAcentral describes it as "bacterial SSU rRNA". It matches the Rfam family "Bacterial small subunit ribosomal RNA", at positions 46 to 727 of the family's 1533-position model. The record is from RNAcentral. Lineage: Bacteria; Pseudomonadati; Pseudomonadota; Gammaproteobacteria.
GCCUAACACAUGCAAGUCGAGCGGCAGCGACAUGAUAGAAGCUUCGGUGGAAAUCAUGGGCGGCGAGCGGCGGACGGGUGAGUAAUGCCUGGGAAUAUGCCUUGAUGUGGGGGAUAACUAUUGGAAACGAUAGCUAAUACCGCAUAAUGCCUUCGGGCCAAAGAGGGGGACCUUCGGGCCUCUCGCGUCAAGAUUAGCCCAGGUGGGAUUAGCUAGUUGGUGAGGUAAAGGCUCACCAAGGCGACGAUCCCUAGCUGGUCUGAGAGGAUGAUCAGCCACACUGGAACUGAGACACGGUCCAGACUCCUACGGGAGGCAGCAGUGGGGAAUAUUGCACAAUGGGCGCAAGCCUGAUGCAGCCAUGCCGCGUGUGUGAAGAAGGCCUUCGGGUUGUAAAGCACUUUCAGCAGUGAGGAAGGCGGGUACGUUAAUAGCGUGCUCGUUUGACGUUAGCUGCAGAAGAAGCACCGGCUAACUCCGUGCCAGCAGCCGCGGUAAUACGGAGGGUGCGAGCGUUAAUCGGAAUUACUGGGCGUAAAGCGCAUGCAGGUGGUUUGUUAAGUCAGAUGUGAAAGCCCGGGGCUCAACCUCGGAACAGCAUUUGAAACUGGCAGACUAGAGUACUGUAGAGGGGGGUAGAAUUUCAGGUGUAGCGGUGAAAUGCGUAGAGAUCUGAAGGAAUACCGGUGGCGAAGGCGGCCC